This 78-nucleotide transfer RNA is filed under the name Candidatus Omnitrophota bacterium. Its description in RNAcentral is "tRNA-Leu". It matches the Rfam family "tRNA". Rfam says of the family: Transfer RNA (tRNA) molecules are approximately 80 nucleotides in length. Their secondary structure includes four short double-helical elements and three loops (D, anti-codon, and T loops). The record is from RNAcentral. Lineage: Bacteria; Pseudomonadati; Candidatus Omnitrophota.
GCUCACGUACCCCAAUUGGCAGAGGGUGUCGGCUGAGACCCGGCAUACGUGGAGGUUCAAGUCCUCUCGUGAGCACCA